UGGGGAAUAUUGGACAAUGGGCGCAAGCCUGAUCCAGCCAUGCCGCGUGAGUGAUGAAGGCCCUAGGGUUGUAAAGCUCUUUCACCGGUGAAGAUAAUGACGGUAACCGGAGAAGAAGCCCCGGCUAACUUCGUGUCAGCAGCCGCGGUAAUACGAAGGGGGCUAGCGUUGUUCGGAUUUACUGGGCGUAAAGCGCACGUAGGCGGACUUUUAAGUCAGGGGUGAAAUCCCGGGGGCUCAACCCCGGAACUGCCUUUGAUACUGGAAGUCUUGAGUAUGGUAGAGGUGAGUGGAAUUCCGAGUGUAGAGGUGAAAUUCGUAGAUAUUCGGAGGAACACCAGUGGCGAAGGCGGCUCACUGGACCAUUACUGACGCUGAGGUGCGAAAGCGUGGGGGAGCAAAACAGGAUUAGAUACCCUGGUAGUCCACGCCGUAAACGAUGAAUGUUAGCCGUUGGGGAGUUUACUCUUCGGUGGCGCAGCUAACGCAUUAAACAUUCCGCCUGGGGAGUACGGUCGCAAGA
RNAcentral lists this ribosomal RNA (523 nucleotides) under uncultured bacterium. RNAcentral's name for it is "partial 16S ribosomal RNA". It matches the Rfam family "Bacterial small subunit ribosomal RNA", at positions 355 to 893 of the family's 1533-position model. The record is from RNAcentral.